AUUUCCUGACAGGUUGGGUGUCUCACCACCUUUGCCAUCCUGCUCCAUGAAAUCCCCCAUGAGGUGGGCGACUUUGCCAUCCUGCUGCGUGCGGGGUUUGACCGCUGGAGUGCCGCCCGCAUGCAGCUAUCCACAGCCCUGGGAGGGGUGCUGGGGGCCUGUUUCGCCCUGUGUGCCCAGUCUCCCAGAGGGACAGG
Molecule: non-coding RNA, 197 nt
Organism: Salvelinus sp. IW2-2015
Lineage: Eukaryota; Metazoa; Chordata; Actinopteri; Salmoniformes; Salmonidae
Source: RefSeq, a predicted model, not a curated record